Contarinia nasturtii (swede midge) is the source of this 1055-nucleotide long non-coding RNA. RefSeq lists it as uncharacterized. The record is from RefSeq and is a predicted model, not a curated record. NCBI's taxonomy places the organism in Eukaryota, Metazoa, Arthropoda, Insecta, Diptera, Cecidomyiidae. The transcript has 3 exons.
GUGUUCAGUGGAUGUGCAUUUAUUUUGUUUGCGCUUCACACAUUAGCUGGCUCUCGUAAUUUACGUUUCCUGCCAACAGUUUUCGACAAUUCGUAUUUUAUUUACUAGUCUCGAUCGUAGGAGACGAAACCGAUUUUCUUUUUUAUUCAUCUCACACAGUGUGUUUAUUGAGAGAAUAAAUUUUUAUUUCGUUCAUUUACAAAAUAAAAACAUCAACGAAGUUUUCGAUUGAAACAAUAAAUAAAGCAACAAAAAACAAAUUGUCACAAAGCUAUCAUAUGAUUUGGCAUGAUUUGUAAACUAUGCUGAACUACUCAAAUAUAAAGUGAUCGAAUUUUGUCCAACGAUUGAGUUAAGAAAUGCAUGAAAUUUAAUAUCGAAACUUUUCUCCAAAAUUAAAACAAGCAAUUUGAUAAAAUUAGUGUGAAAAGGUGUCAAUACAUUUCUGUCACAAGUCAAUUGAAUUUUAUCUCGUGUUGAGUGUGGAACAAAAGAACGAAUUGAAAAAAAAAAAAAACGGUUUUUGUGUUUAAAUUUGAAGUGAAUCGAAUUAUAUUUAUUAGACAGGAUUAUUUUGUAAGAAUGUGAAUGUAUAUUGUGCGCUACCGAAUCAUUCGAAUUAAGAUUACUAAUCGGCCUUGUGUUGUCCAUUCUCGAAUUUGAAUCAAGAAUAGAAGAGAGAAAAACCAAACCGAACAAAUAAAGUUAAUUGAGUGAAAAUUAUUGUGAGAGAAGACACACAUUUCAGAAAGACGAGAUUAAAAUCUCCAUACAGUUCUCGAUCGUUCGUUGUUCAUUCGUUUUGAAAUAAUUAAAAGAAACAAAUCACAAGAAUUUUUUUAAUACUGACAAAAAACAAAUGCAUAACAAAGAAAUAAACUGAAAUUAUUAAUUGACCUGCCGGAUUAAAUUGGAUUAUAAAUUCUGUUUUGUAUUGUUGAAGGAAGAGCUUACAUAUAUCGAACGAGAGAGAAGAAAAAAAAAUUCAACAAAAAAUAUUAGACAAUUUUAUUGGAUUGCUGAGUUUGCAGACAACAACACCAACCCAACGGUAU